Molecule: non-coding RNA, 4359 nt
Organism: Macaca mulatta (Rhesus monkey)
Lineage: Eukaryota; Metazoa; Chordata; Mammalia; Primates; Cercopithecidae
Source: RefSeq, a predicted model, not a curated record
ACGUGACUCCCGGCCCUAAAAGCUCCCCUACACUGGCCUGAGCCGGCUGGUUAGCAACACCCCCUUCACAGGCUCCUUAAAGGGCAUUUGGUGACCGAGUGAGUGGAAUUUCAGAAAUGCUGAAGACUCGAACUCGAGCCAAAUUAUCACUCAAGAAUGAGGACAAACUGAAGUUACUUUCAGAUAUGCAAGGGCUGAAAGCUGAACACACACAAACCUUUCUGGGAGAAAAACUUCUCAGAAAUAUUGCUUAGUGACCAAACACAACAAAUCCAUGGAGAAAGACACAAGAAGCAGCACUGCGGAGAGGGGCCAGCAGAUUGUAAGACACAAGAAACAGCACUGCGGAGAGGAGCCAGCAGAAAAUACAGCUCGCCCAAAUGAGGACAGGCAACCUAACAGACUGUAUCACAAGAAGAACUGUGAAAAGGGGCAGAGCACUAAAAAUAGAUUCCUAAUAGCACAGGCAACAGAGACAAAUGGGACUACAUCAAACUUAAAAAUUUCAGAGCAGGAAAAACCAAUAGAGUAAAAAAUGGGAAAAAAUAGCUGCAAUCCAGGAUCUGCAUAUGAAGCUACUAUCCCGAAUGCACUUUUAAAAACUCCUACAACUCCACAACCAAAGGAAAUCUUCAAUUUUAAAACGGGUGAAGGACUUAAGACACUUCUACAGAGAAGAUAAACCAAUGGCCAUCUUGCCAUACAUGACAAGAUGCUCCACACGACCAACCACCCAGCAGACCCAAGUGCAAACGUGAGACAUCCCCUCGUGCCUGCUAGGACGGUGAUCGCUAAACACCAAAAGCUACGCCAUGGCAGGAAGCGGAGCAGCGGGACCCGCAUGCAGGGCCAGGGAAUGUGCCCGGCGCAGUGUGGAGAGCAGCGAGGCAAUUCCUCAGAACGUUAGGCACUAGGCUCCUGAGUCCCCAGCAGGCCACGAGAACUGAAGGCAGGGUCCCAGGAGGUAUCUGCACAGCUGUGUUCAUGGCAGCCACGAGGCAGAAGCAACCCAAAUGUCCAUCACCAGGGGAAUGAAAGAAGAAAACGUGGCAGUCACACGCCACAUAAUGACAUUUUGGUCAACAACAGACCGUACAGGUGAUGGUGGUCGCAUUAAGAUUAGGACACUGCAUUCUCACUGCAUCUUUUCUAUGUCUCAACAUGUACGAUGCAAACCACCACCAUGGAACAGCCGCCUGUGGUAUUCAGCAGUGACAGGCUGUACAGGUUUGCAGCCCAGGAGGGUUGUACCACGUGUACACACAGGCUGUACCACGGUGCGAGCAUGCAGCAGCCACACCGUCUGGGCUCCUGUGAGUUAGUUCGUUCUACGAUGUUCGCACGGUGAAGUCGCCUAACGAUGCAUUUCUCAGAGCUUUUCCAUCCUCGCUAAAAAUCAGUUCCCACGAAUACACGGGUUCACAUGUGGACUGAUUCCACCCCGCUGAUGUGCAUCGACCCCUCCGCCAGCACCGUGCAGUCUUCAUCACCACGGCUCCGUGGAAAGCGCUGAGGUCAGGAAGCGCAGGCCUCACAACUGCUUUCUCAAAGAUGGCUCCUCGCAUUGCCACAUGAAUUUUCAAAACAGCUGUCAAUGUCCACAAAAAGGCCAGCUGAGAUUUUGACACAAAAAUCUAUUGAAUCUGUAGGUCAACUAGGGGAGUAUUGCUGUCUUAAUAACAGUAAGUGCUAUUUCUAAGCAUCUUAUUAUUUUGGUGCUGUUGUAAAUAACAUUUUAAUUUCCUUUUUGAUCAUUUCCAAGGUAAAGAAAUAUAACAUAUUUUUACUUAUCUUGUAUUGUGCAAUCUUGACGAACUAGUUUAUUAAUACUACCAGUUCCCAAGCGUAUUCCUUAGGAAUUCUAUAUAGAAGAUCAUGUCAUCUGCAACUACAACUUUACAUUUUCUUUUCCAGUCUGAAUGUCUUUUAUUUAUUUUCCUUGCCUAACUGUCCUAGAGCCCCCAGGAUGAUGCCAAAUGUAAAGGGAACUGACAUCUUUCAUCUUGUUGCUGUUCUUAGGAGGAAAGUGUUACUGUUUGGCAUGAAGCAAGAUGUUAGCUGUGGGUUUUCCACAGAUGCCCUUCAUCAGAUUGAGGAAGUUCCUUUCUAUUCCCAGUUUUUUCAGGAUAGGAGUGUUUGUAUGAUGAAAAGGUGUUGGAUUUUGUAAAGUGCUUUUGUUGCAUCUAUUGAGAUGAUUAGGUGGUGGUUGUCCUUCAUUCUAUUAAUAUGAGACAUGACAUUGAUUUUCAUGCAUUGAACCAACCUUGCAUUUCUGGGGGAAAUCCUACUUAGUCCUGACACAUAAUCCUUUCUAUAUGUUACCAGAUUCAGUUUGCUAAGAUUUUGUUAAAGAUGAUGGCAUCUAUUUCUUUCAACUGGAACGAUGGUCUGUGGCUUUGUGAUGUAUUUGUCUGGUUCAAGGUUAUAUCAAGGUGAUACUGGCCUCACAGAAGGAGUUGGGAUGUACUCCCUCCUUAACUGCUUUUAGCAAGAGUUAGUGUAAAUUCUUCUUUAGUGUUCAACAGAAUUCAUCAGUGAAACCAUCUGGUCCUGGGCUUUUCUUUGUGAGGUUUUUUGUAGUAACCACCUGUUAUAGGUCUAUUCAGUCAUCACUUUUAACUUACAAAAAUAACAACUAUAUAUGGUUCAACCUAACAUAUUUUUCCUUCUACACAUUUUGUCUGUGUCCCUUGUCCAAUGCUUAUUUGUUUUUAUUUACUUAUUCACUUACUUAUUCCUUCAUUCACACAGGGUCUCACGCCGCUGUUCAGGCUGGAGCCCAGUGACACAAUCAUAGCUCACUGCAGCCUUGAGCUCCUAGCUCAAGUGAUCCUCCUGCCUCAGCCUCCCAAAGUGCUGGGAUUACAGGCAUAAGCCACUGUGCCUGGCUUGGUAUUUGCUUUUAAAUUCUGGUUCUAUCUUAUCUGGUUAUACCAAAUAAUUAAACUUUUAUUUAUCACAUCUCCCCAAUUUUUCCUAAGUAAUUUGUUGCAUUACAGCUUUUUACAAUCACAGGAUUUCUCAACUUAGCGAAUGUUAAAUUACGUUUUCUCCAAUACAUCUUCCCCUUCGGUGACUCAAAGAAGUAAUCCUCCCUGAUUUCGUCACUGAAACAGAAUGUGGCAAGCAGCGUGAGUGGAGACAUGCGUGAAACGUCUGCACCUGCUUGCCCGCUGCCCCCACACUGUGCCAUCAGCUUCAGGAUGUGCUUCCUCAAACGUUCUCCAGCCUUUGCCGUGCUUCUCUGACAGAAUUUGCUGACAAAAAGAAACGCAUUUUAGUGUGUCAUCAUCAUGUUUUCACCAACACAGGAAGGAAGAAUUUCCCCAAUGGCAUAAGGCUCUUUGUCUUUUGCAAUUAACCAUAAGAGGUUUCUAAAUAGUGAUUACGAAGCUCAUCACAGGGCCAGAAGUGCUGGAUUAAGCCCUGGGUGGCAGUUUGCAUCACCCUCCAUCCUGGAGGGCCCAGUCUCAUGUUCUGGUGCAGGGCAUGUAAUCACGGUGGCUUCCUGCCAUCCUGAGCUAAUCUCCCCAAGCACAGCACAUACCCUGAGGGAGGCUCACAAAGGACAAAAAUGCUUCAAAUCCCCCAAGAGGCUUCUUGAAAAAAACGACACUUCCAGUCAACUUCUGAGGGGAUGUGACCAGAUUGACGUUGCGCCCUACAAAGUUCAUGGUGGGAAGCCCACUGUUGGCCCUGAGCUCCGCACUCCCAGUUAGGCUCAGCCUUAGCCAGCUGCUUCCUUGCAGGAACCUUUUUAAGCCACUGAUCCAUUUUGGAAAGGGUAUGCGACCUGUGACAGCGGCACACACACACACAACGCAGCACCAGACUUGGAAGCCAGCAGCGUGGAAGAGCCAGGGCCGUGCCCCACGCAGUCCAGUGCCCUCAUUCCUGGGUCACUCUCUAACCAAACGACACACAGACCACAAGUGGGUAGGAAUGUCAGUUAAUAUACACGACAUUAGCAGAGCUUCCUUCCUCACCUUUCCGUAAAAUAUUUCAAAGGAAGCCAGCUGUUCUGCCACAAAGUCACGACUUUGGCAGUUACACACCUGGCUGUUGUGUCUGGCAGGGCCCAGCCCUUCUUGGUGUCCCUUUCAUUAUAAAUAAGAAAUGUUUUAUCAAACACAAAAGGAGCAACAUGAUAUCAUUACGGUUUCAUGCAGAAACACGGCAUCCUCUGCUAGUGCCAAUCUUCCUUCAGGCCUUUACUGAAAUAGCACCGUGGCAGUCAGGCUGCCUGCUAAGGACACUGUUGGAUUGUCUGUUUCUGCUACUUUGGGUUAUGGUGAAUGGGAUGUGUUCUAACUGGCUGGCGGUGGUAUAGAGAACAGCGAUUGGGUUUCAUGCACUUAC